GACGAACGCUGGCGGCGUGCUUAACACAUGCAAGUCGAACGGAAAGGCCCUGCUUUUGUGGGGUGCUCGAGAGGCGAACGGGUGAGUAACACGUGAGUAACCUGCCCUUGACUUUGGGAUAACUUCAGGAAACUGGGGCUAAUACCGGAUAGGAGCUCCUGCUGCAUGGUGGGGGUUGGAAAGUUUCGGCGGUUGGGGAUGGACUCGCGGCUUAUCAGCUUGUUGGUGGGGUAGUGGCUUACCAAGGCUUUGACGGGUAGCCGGCCUGAGAGGGUGACCGGCCACAUUGGGACUGAGAUACGGCCCAGACUCCUACGGGAGGCAGCAGUGGGGAAUAUUGCACAAUGGGCGGAAGCCUGAUGCAGCAACGCCGCGUGCGGGAUGACGGCCUUCGGGUUGUAAACCGCUUUCGCCUGUGACGAAGCGUGAGUGACGGUAAUGGGAAAAGAAGCACCGGCUAACUACGUG
This 468-nucleotide ribosomal RNA is filed under the name uncultured bacterium. RNAcentral describes it as "partial 16S ribosomal RNA". It matches the Rfam family "Bacterial small subunit ribosomal RNA", at positions 28 to 507 of the family's 1533-position model. The record is from RNAcentral.